Molecule: transfer RNA, 48 nt
Filed under: Nitrospirae bacterium RBG_13_41_22
Lineage: Bacteria; Pseudomonadati; Nitrospirota
Description: tRNA-Arg
Rfam family: tRNA
About the family: Transfer RNA (tRNA) molecules are approximately 80 nucleotides in length. Their secondary structure includes four short double-helical elements and three loops (D, anti-codon, and T loops).
Source: RNAcentral
GCGCCUGUAGCUCAGUGGAUAGAGCAUCGGCCUCCGGAGCCGAGGGUC